UACGUAGGGUGCAAGCGUUACUCGGAAUUACUGGGCGUAAAGCGUGCGCAGGCGGUUGUGCAAGACAGAUGUGAAAUCCCCGGGCUCAACCUGGGAACUGCAUUUGUGACUGCACGGCUGGAGUGCGGCAGAGGGGGAUGGAAUUCCGCGUGUAGCAGUGAAAUGCGUAGAUAUGCGGAGGAACACCGAUGGCGAAGGCAAUCCCCUGGGCCUGCACUGACGCUCAUGCACGAAAGCGUGGGGAGCAAACAGG
This 253-nucleotide ribosomal RNA is filed under the name uncultured bacterium. Its description in RNAcentral is "partial 16S ribosomal RNA". It matches the Rfam family "Bacterial small subunit ribosomal RNA", at positions 524 to 776 of the family's 1533-position model. The record is from RNAcentral.